ACAGACACUCUGUGCUCCAGUUGCGCUAACAAGCAGUGUAAUGAAGACAACUGCUCCUGUUUCUCGGAAGACAAUGGGAGUGGAUCGGAACCCUGCAUAAAUGAUGACACCUGUCUGCUCCCAGAAUCCCAAUGCUGUCCUAGCAAUCUCAGGUUUAACAAUGAAACAAAGUGUUGUUAUGCACCCGUCAGUAACUCUGCUGUGAUCAUUUCAACAAGUACAGGAUUAUUCAGCAUCUUCCUGAUUUGGCAUUUACUGCAAUAAAGCACUGGAAAAGCCAUGAGUCAUAGAGAUGGUGUAUUAUGUAACACAAGCAGAAGUAUUAUGGGGGGAUAUCAUGGUACCAAAGAUACUAAUGAAGACGUGUCAAAUUAAACUUGCAGCUAAUUUAACAAAUUUUCCAUAUUUAUCAAUAUUUCAAAAUCAAAGAAUCUCCAGGUUCCUGUUAAGUUCACACUAACGUGUCUGCCAUGCCUUCAGUCUGCCUACAAUCGCUGUCUAGAAUUUGGCCUCAGAAAAACUGUUGAGGUACCAUAAAAAGACAGAUACAUUUAGGAUAUACAUUUACUAUCCAAUCACAAGGGAGCAACCAAAGUUUUCCUACCAAUCUCCAUAAUGGCAUGAAGUAACACAGAGCAGCAUUUUACAUUAACAGAGAAACUUAAAAUUGAGCUUCAGAAGGUUACUACAUUAUGAUAAAUGACAUGGGUUUACUUACCCUGCUGCCAUCUGGGGGGGCAGAGAGGGGACGGCGUCUGGCUUCAUUAGUGAAAACAGAGGAGUGUCACCGCCAUUUAUAGGGAGGGAAGAGGCCAGGGAUCUCCAUCAUAGGAAGGAUGGCCUCUGCGAUGGGUGACUUGUGAGGCACCAUAGGAGCCACAAGCCACCCUAUGGUAAGUCAGUGAUUUUAGGACACAGGUCGGAUCACUACUGAAGCAGCAGCUAUAGCCACUCCAUUUACAUCUGAAUCAGGCCCAGUAUAUAAAAAAAUCUGUCCAUAAUGUACAGAAGUAGUAAAGGCUAUAAUAACAAGUCUAAUUUAGCAUACAUUGCUGCUUCCAAGACAUAUAAGAUAGUAUAGUUCUUCUUCCUCUACUAAAAGUAUUUCUUGUUCUUCUGUAGUUCCAUUUUAAUAUUAGAUCACAGAUUUUUGUAAAUCUAAUUUCUAUGUUCUUCUGGAAGUUUAUUGUAAUCAUAACA
Pseudophryne corroboree (corroboree frog) is the source of this 1200-nucleotide long non-coding RNA. RefSeq lists it as uncharacterized. The record is from RefSeq and is a predicted model, not a curated record. NCBI's taxonomy places the organism in Eukaryota, Metazoa, Chordata, Amphibia, Anura, Myobatrachidae. The transcript is spliced from 3 exons.